This 249-nucleotide ribosomal RNA is filed under the name Didymium environmental sample. Its description in RNAcentral is "partial 18S ribosomal RNA". It matches the Rfam family "Eukaryotic small subunit ribosomal RNA", at positions 28 to 241 of the family's 1831-position model. The record is from RNAcentral. Lineage: Eukaryota; Evosea; Eumycetozoa; Physariida; Didymiaceae.
ACGCUUCUCCUAAAGACUAAGCCAUGCAUGCUUUCGAAUAGGAGGUAGCAAUGCUCUCUGAAUCUGCGAACGGCUCCGCAUAUCAGUUGUAAACUAUAGCAAGCAAGCUCGUGCCCUUCACCGGGUGCGGGCAACACGGAUAACCCUGGUAAUUCUGAGGCUAAUACGAGACCGUAAUCCCUGGUUGGUCGGGCAACUGACUGGCUGGGGAGCGUGUGAUCUUCCGCUGAUUUUUUCCGGGAACGGGUA